CCUACGGGAGGCAGCAGUGAGGAAUAUUGGUCAAUGGGCGCGAGCCUGAACCAGCCAAGUAGCGUGAAGGAUGACUGCCCUACGGGUUGUAAACUUCUUUUAUAAAGGAAUAAAGUGAGGCACGUGUGCCUUUUUGUAUGUACUUUAUGAAUAAGGAUCGGCUAACUCCGUUCCAUCAGCCGCGGUAAUACGGAGGAUCCGAGCGUUAUCCGGAUUUAUUGGGUUUAAAGGGAGCGUAGGUGGGUUGUUAAGUCAGUUGUGAAAGUUUGCGGCUCAACCGUAAAAUGGCAAUUGAUACUGGCAGUCUUGAGUACAGUUGAGGUAGGCGGAAUUCGUUGUGUAGCGGUGAAAUGCUUAGAUAUCACGAAGAACUCCGAUUGCGAAGGCAGCUUACUAAACUGCCACUGACAUUGAUGCUCGAAAGUGUGGGUAUCAAACAGGAUUAGAUACCCCGGUAGUC
Molecule: ribosomal RNA, 460 nt
Filed under: uncultured bacterium
Lineage: Bacteria
Description: partial 16S ribosomal RNA
Rfam family: Bacterial small subunit ribosomal RNA
Source: RNAcentral